UGGGGUGUCUAAAUUAUAAUCCAUAGAAUUUUUAAUUAAUUUGCCAAAAUGUAGUUUAUAUCCUGCUUGUUUAAAAACAUUAAUAAAAAGAAUGGGUCACCGGACUUAUUUUCACACUACAGGUUGUGCAAAAUUGUCCGAUUUUGUAUAGAUUAUGCAUGGAAAACCCAAUUUUGCGUCAUAAAACGAAAACUACACCAUAGAAUUUUGAGAUAAAAUAUGAGAAGAUAGCUCCAAUAUUAUGCUUUUAGAUAAGAAAAAGAAAAAAUGGGGUCACCGGACUCGUUUUCUUGCUACAUAGCAAAAUUGGUAAAUUCCUAACACAUUCUAUUGUAAAAGUAACACUAUCUGAAUUAUCUGCCCUUGCAUUUGAGUUGUCUCCCCUUAUUUGGCAAAGUUGGAAAAAAUUUAAUCAAACAAAAGUAAUCGUUUUUUUGAAAAAUACAACCAUAAAUAUAAUAAAACAUGGCAUUUUCUAUAUCAUAAUAAAAAAUUCUUACACAUGAAUUAACUUCUAAUCUCAAAAUUUGCACAUUUGAUUAAAGUUCUAGACCUUGUUUUCUGGUAUUUCAAAAUCCAA
This 580-nucleotide long non-coding RNA is filed under the name Mytilus galloprovincialis (Mediterranean mussel). The record is from RNAcentral. Lineage: Eukaryota; Metazoa; Mollusca; Bivalvia; Mytilida; Mytilidae.